UGACGAGGGGGGCAAGCGUUUGUUUGCGGAAUUACUGGGCGUAAAGCGCGUGUGAGGCGGACUAAGGUAAGUCGGGCCGCGAAAUCCCCACGGCUCAACCGUGGAAGUGGCACUCGAAACUGCAUAGCUAGAGUCCUGGAAGAGGAAGGUGGAAUGCUUGGUGUAGAGGUGAAAUUCGUAGAUAUCAAGCGGAACCACCGGUGGCGAAGGCGGCCUUCUGGACAGUG
This 227-nucleotide ribosomal RNA is filed under the name uncultured bacterium. RNAcentral's name for it is "partial 16S ribosomal RNA". It matches the Rfam family "Bacterial small subunit ribosomal RNA", at positions 523 to 738 of the family's 1533-position model. The record is from RNAcentral.